CAAGAGCGUAUAUUAAAGUUGUUGCAGUUAAAAAGCUCGUAGUUGGAUUUCUGCUGAGGACGACCGGUCCGCCCUCCGGGUGAGCAUCUGGUUCGGCCUUGGCAUCUUCUUGGUGAACGUAUCUGCACUUGACUGUGUGGUGCGGUACCCAGGACUUUUACUUUGAGGAAAUUAGAGUGUUCAAAGCAGGCUUAUGCCGUUGAAUACAUUAGCAUGGAAUAAUAAGAUAGGACCUUGGUACUAUUUUGUUGGUUGCGUACCUAGGUAAUGAUUAAUAGGGACAGUUGGGGAUAUUACUAUUUCGUUGUCAGAGGUGAAAUUCUUGGAUUUACGAAAGAGUAACUACUGCGAAAGCAUUUAUCAAGGAUGUUUUCAUUAAUCAAGAACGAAAGUUAGGGGAUCGAAGAUGAUCAGAUACCA
This 420-nucleotide ribosomal RNA is filed under the name uncultured eukaryote. RNAcentral describes it as "bacterial SSU rRNA". It matches the Rfam family "Eukaryotic small subunit ribosomal RNA", at positions 592 to 1017 of the family's 1831-position model. The record is from RNAcentral.